GCGGUGGACCAACCCCUUUGACCUCAACUUGGCUCCGCAUCCGGUGACGCGCACGUCAGCGACGACCGGGGAGCGGCCCAACGGGCACCGCAACGACAACACGCACCGGGCCGAUGGCGGUGGAAUCCUUGGUUCCCACCCACCUCGCCCGGUCACAGGUAUUGCAUUCGUUGCCGAUCCUCCACCUGAUCAUUGUGAACUUGCUCGAGAUAGUUUUAGUCGCAAUCCACAUAUGCCCAAGUUGCAUUUCCCUAUUUUUGAUGGCGAUAAUCCUAGACUGUGGCGUGAUCGGUGUGAAAUGUAUUUCGAGGCGCUCAAUUUCAAAGGUGUUGCGGCGAAUUGGUUGCAGACAUUGGAGCGCAAGAGGUGCAUUUCUGACUGGGAGGAGUUCUGUAAAGCGGUGUUCGAGCAUUUUGACAGAGACCAGUACCAAACUCAGCUCCGUCAGUUGGAUUCCCUUCGGCAAACGUCAUCGGUGGCUGAGUAUUUGGAUCGGUUUGAACAAUUAUCUCAUGGUAUUCUGCAGUACAAUACCCAUUAUGAUGAUACAUAUUUUGUCACUCGGUUUUUUGGUGGAUUAUCAGAGGAAAUCAGAUCGGCAAUCACUCUCCAUCGCCCACAAGAUGUGGCAGCAGCAAGUGCCUUAGCUCUGCUCCAAGAAGAAGAAUUAGGCAAGACCAAGAAGAGAUCUCUCAUAAAGGACUCUUAUCACAGUAAACUGAAUGCAUCUUCAGAAAAGUUCAGAACACUGUCUGAUGAUACAGUCCCUGCUCCCAAGUCCAAGUCUGAAAGAAUUGAUGGCUCUGAUAAGUUAAAAGAGUUGAUGCAGUUCAUACGCAAGAAUGGGCUAUGCUUCAAAUGUGGUGAGGGUCAGAAUCACACCUGCCUAGCUCAGAUUCCAUUACACGUGAUAGAAGAACUAUGGGAUGCCAUUGGGUCUGAUGAUGACACUCCUUUGUCUGAAAACUGAUGAUUCUGAAGAAAUUGAGGUGGUGAUGGCAGUGAGCUCAGCAGUACCUACAGAGCAGCACAAACGUAAGACUAUGCGACUUCUGGGGACUGUGCAAGGUCGUGAGGUGUUUAUUUUAGUUGAUUCUGGUAGCAUUGGGACUUUUAUCAGCACCUACUUGGCAACCCAAUUAUCUGACCAAUUAUCUCAGUGUCCUGCAUCACACUACACCACUGCUGAUGGUAACACCAUGACCUGCACUUCUAUGGUACAGAAUUUGCAAUGUACAGCUCAAGGCCAUGUGUUCAAUUCUGAUGCUCGAGUACUGUCCUUACAGUGCUUUGAUAUGAUACUAGGCCCGGAUUGGUUAGAAGCAUGCAGUCCUAUGUGGGUUCAUUGGGGUAAGAAACUCAUGAAAUUUACUUAUAAUGGUAAAAGGAUGACACUGCAAGGAAUUAGAUCAGAUGUGCCUAAAUGCACUGCCAUCAGUGCUGGUAAAUUGAAGGGAUUACUUCGUCGAUAGGCCAUCACACACUGUGUUCAAUUGUUACCUAGACAACUCCAUUCUUGAGAGCAGGUUGGCACACAGAAUUCCAACUCUCUUUGCAGUGUGUCAACUUCUAGCCCACCACCUGCCAUACAGGCACUUCUUCAGAAAUACAAGCACUUGUUCCAAGAGCCUGACUCUUUACCACCUCCUAGAGAGUGUGAUCACCAGAUUUCUCUUGUUCCAGGAGCUUCUCCAGUUAAUGUCAGGGCUUAUUGUUAUGCACCAGCUCAGAAGAAUGAAAUAGAAAAGCAAUUAGCUGAUAUGCUUAAGCAUGGCAUAAUUCGUCCCAGUUAUAGCCCAUAUGCCUCACCUGUCCUGCUAGUCAGAAAAAAAGAUGGGACAUGGAGAUUUUGUGUGGACUAUCGUCAUCUGAACAAUAUCACUGUCAAAAAUAAGCAUCCAAUGCCCGUUGUUGAGGAACUCAUUGAUGAACUGGCAGGGGCAGAAUGGUUCUCUAAAUUGAAUUUUCGGUCAGGCUAUCAUCAAAUUAGGAUGGCUAAAGGUGAUGAACAUAAAACAGCUUUUCGUACUCAUAGUGGUCUAUAUGAGUUUUUGGUUAUGCCAUUUGGGCUCACUAAUGCCCCUGCUACCUUUUAAAGCAUUAUGAAUACUAUUUUUGCUCCUCUCUUGAGAAAAGGGGUCCUGGUCUUUAUGGAUGAUAUUUUGAUAUACUCUCAUUCUUUUGAGGAGCACCUGAUUUUGCUGCAGAAGGUUUUUGACAUCAUUCAUGAGCAUCAGUUCUCUAUUAAGUUGUCCAAGUGUUCUUUUGCUCAGAGGAUCAUAGAAUACCUGGGUCAUUGUAUUUCUGCUGACGGAGUGGCUACUGAGCCUUCUAAAGUGCAAGCUGUGCAGCAGUGGCCUACACCUCAUAAUCUAAAAACACUCAGAGGCUUCUUAGGACUGAUUGGGUACUAUAGGAAAUUCAUUAAGUAUUAUGGUAUGAUCAGUCGUCCUUUAACACUGCUUUUGAAGAAAGAAAACUCGACCUGCGAGGGGCUAGCCGCCCCCCGAGCAUUCUUAUAAGAAGGAGGCCUUCUAACGCAGGCCGAGAAACCCCCCGAACCCCGGCUCUUUCUGACCUUGGGUCUGGUGCCAUUUCCUGGAACCGUUACCCGGGCCGGGACCGUUACCCACUGGGCCG
Molecule: long non-coding RNA, 2640 nt
Organism: Panicum virgatum (switchgrass)
Lineage: Eukaryota; Viridiplantae; Streptophyta; Magnoliopsida; Poales; Poaceae
Exons: 2
Source: RefSeq, a predicted model, not a curated record